Long non-coding RNA from Chenopodium quinoa (quinoa), 1562 nucleotides. RefSeq lists it as uncharacterized. The transcript has 3 exons. NCBI's taxonomy places the organism in Eukaryota, Viridiplantae, Streptophyta, Magnoliopsida, Caryophyllales, Amaranthaceae. The record is from RefSeq and is a predicted model, not a curated record.
ACAAAAAACCAACCAAAACCCCAACCACCUUAGAACUCCGGCAACCCGCCACCUCCCUUGCUCAGCCACCUCGCUCGCCCAGCCACCUCACUUGCCCAGCCACUAGACUCGCCGCUCCGGCGCUUCCCCUAAGCCACAGUCCCCCCUCCCCGAAACCCCUACGCAACCACCUAUUAAACCCUUCUAUCCCCCAUUUCUAAAACUUCCAACCUCGUAACCCUAGAGGCUAUUCUGGUGGGGCGAAUGGGGAGGGGGUGGUUUCCGGUUCGGGGUGGAGGCCGGGGCAGCAAGAAGGGGAAAGGGAGGGGGUAGGUUUGCCGGCCGUUCAGGGGUGGGUUUCAGUUGCGCUCAGGGAGGGGCGAGGAGUGUGUUUGGCGAUGUGGGAGGGGGAAGUUGAGGAAGAUAUGGGUGGCGGUGGGAGAGUGGUCGAGCGAGGUGGCUGGCAGGGUUGUUUCUGUGCGUGAGUUGGGCCGCUAGUUUGUGUGCAUGCUGUCGGAAAUAUGCAGCGAGGGGCGACGGUGGUGAUGUGUGACAUGAGAGGUGUGCAGGGGUGGGCUGCGUUGGUGGGGAAAGACAGUGGGGUAGGGUAGCCGACGCUUUGGGCGCCGGUCGCCGGCAGGGGGGGAAAGUGGUGGCUGACGGGAGGGGUGGUGGAGGAGGGGGGAGGGUGGCUGGGUUUUUCUUUUUUAAAAAAAACAUUUUAAUUUUUUUUUUUUUUUUUGAAUAAACUUACUUAACGAAAAUCUUAACGGAUUCCGUCAACUGGUAGCAAUUUUUAACAACUCUGAUGUCCUUUUAUUUUCUAUCUAUCUUUCCAUAGCUUCUCUCUCCUCUAAUCCUCCAUCAUUCAUCUUCAUCUUCUCUAGAGACUCCGAUUUGGAGGCCUCGAAUCCCACCAUUGUCUGAUCUCUCCCUCUUUUAAUCUGCUACUUUCGAUUCUCUUUUCAUACAAGGUUGGUGCAAAAUAAUGCAGUGCUUGAAGUUAGAGUCCUGUGCUUCUAUAACAAGAAAGAAAGUUCAAAUGCGUGGCGCUCCUUGACUCCAUAUCAACUUAACUAGCGAAAAAGCAACCUGGACAUCGAGAGCCAACCUUCUUGUUAGAGAAAAGAGGAGUUUCUAAUGUGCAUAUAAGGAAAUAGAUGACUUAAUGUUGAGAAGAUUCCUAAGAGCUCGUAAUCUAAAUGUGAAGAAGAUGGGUUCCAUGUUCUUAAAGUAAUCAAGAGUCUGCUGUUACUGACUCAUGCUGAUGUCUGCUGCCACUGCUAUUUGCUGGCGUGGUGCUGUUGACUGCUGUGUACUCCAAGCUGCUGUUAUCUGCUGUUACUGCUAGCCUGUUACUACGUACUGACUGUUGUUACUGCUAGCUGCUGCUAUCGGCUGAUGGUGCUAGCUGCUGCUAUAUGCUAUUAAUUUUGCUUUUUUUGUUUUGGAAUUUGAUGGUCUAAUCUAGAGACCGAAGUUCACUUUCUUUUUGUUUUGUUUAUUAGAUUUUUAGCCAAACAAAAGUUUUGGUGUAAUGGAAUUUUUCUUAAGAAACUAUGAAAUUAUAUCAUUUCAAAUUA